This 356-nucleotide ribosomal RNA is filed under the name uncultured bacterium. Its description in RNAcentral is "bacterial SSU rRNA". It matches the Rfam family "Bacterial small subunit ribosomal RNA", at positions 1 to 321 of the family's 1533-position model. The record is from RNAcentral.
GAUCAGCUCUGUACUCCGACCAAUCUGNUUAAAGUUUGAUCAUGGCUCACGACGAAGCUNAGGCGGCGUGCCUAAUACAUGCAAGUCGAGCGAACAGAGAAGGAGCUUGCUCCUUUGACGUUAGCGGCGGACGGGUGAGUAACACGUGGGCAACCUACCUUAUAGUUUGGGAUAACUCCGGGAAACCGGGGCUAAUACCGAAUAAUCUAUUUUACUUCAUGGUGAAAUACUGAAAGACGGUUUCGGCUGUCGCUAUAAGAUGGGCCCGCGGCGCAUUAGCUAGUUGGUGAGGUAACGGCUCACCAAGGCGACGAUGCGUAGCCGACCUGAGAGGGUGAUCGGCCACACUGGGACUG